AUGUUUGGAUAUUAUCUUAGUCCAUUUCCACCAAGGCUACCCAUAAGUGAAUUAUGUGAUGGAUUUGCCAGCCAUCCAGGUGAUCGAUUUUUUCGACACGACUGCACACGAUCACAUAUUUCUGCUCGUGGGUCAGCUGUUUUCAACGACCAAGAAAGAUUGGUUGGCAUAUCAUAUGAGCGUCAUGGUUUAACAAAGGCCCUGGAUGUCGAGGGCAUAAGAUAUGAACUUUUACAGAUUUACGGAGGAAUGAAUGAGAUGUCCAUUUUGCAGAUUGUAGAACAUAUAAGAGCUCUAGGUGAAGUAAGAGCUGCGAAUCUUGCAGGCCCUUCUUGA
RNAcentral lists this ribosomal RNA (336 nucleotides) under Triticum aestivum (bread wheat). RNAcentral's name for it is "partial small subunit ribosomal RNA". Lineage: Eukaryota; Viridiplantae; Streptophyta; Magnoliopsida; Poales; Poaceae. The record is from RNAcentral.